GAUGAACGCUAGCUACAGGCUUAACACAUGCAAGUCGAGGGGAAACGAUAGAGAAAGCUUGCCUUUUCUAGGCGUCGACCGGCGCACGGGUGAGUAACGCGUAUCCAACCUGCCCACCACUUGGGGAUAACCUUGCGAAAGUAAGACUAAUACCCAAUGACGUCUCUAGAAGACAUCUGAAAGAGAUUAAAGAUUUAUCGGUGAUGGAUGGGGAUGCGUCUGAUUAGCUUGUUGGCGGGGUAACGGCCCACCAAGGCGACGAUCAGUAGGGGUUCUGAGAGGAAGGUCCCCCCACAUUGGAACUGAGACACGGUCCAAACUCCUACGGGAGGCAGCAGUGAGGAAUAUUGGUCAAUGGACGAGAGUCUGAACCAGCCAAGUAGCGUGCAGGAUGACGGCCCUAUGGAUUGUAAACUGCUUUUAUAAGGGAAUAAAGUGAGUCUCGUGAGACUUUUUGCAUGUACCUUAUGAAUAAGGACCGGCUAAUUCCGUGCCAGCAGCC
RNAcentral lists this ribosomal RNA (502 nucleotides) under uncultured bacterium. RNAcentral's name for it is "bacterial SSU rRNA". It matches the Rfam family "Bacterial small subunit ribosomal RNA", at positions 28 to 516 of the family's 1533-position model. The record is from RNAcentral.